Hermetia illucens (black soldier fly) is the source of this 455-nucleotide long non-coding RNA. RefSeq lists it as uncharacterized. The record is from RefSeq and is a predicted model, not a curated record. NCBI's taxonomy places the organism in Eukaryota, Metazoa, Arthropoda, Insecta, Diptera, Stratiomyidae. The transcript is spliced from 2 exons.
UGGUCGUCAAUAUUUGCACUUCAUUCAAUGUCAUCUAUAGUAAGUACAUCAAAUAUGACAGUCCGCACCGUGGAUAGUAUUCGAUUUCGAGGCCUUGCUUUCAUCGUUAUUCGACAGCCCUGAAAGGAGCCCAAUUCCAUACAAAAUCGAAAGGUGAACAUACUGAGAGAGUUGUGCAAAUUUCUUCGUGGCCUGUGCCAAAAACUUUAUAAGGGUUCAUAUUCGUGUGCAAGAUGCUACCGAUACCGAUUAUUGAUGACUGCUAUUCCCAAUAUAACUCGAAAGCUUUUCAAUUUGUGAGGAUUAGACCGCUUUUGGAAGAAAUUAAACAAUAUUCACAAUGAAAAAGGAAGCAGUUGAUAUGACAUAGCCUUGUGCCAACUGACAAUCAAUAGUAGUCGAUUUUUAUGUAUAUGCGGCCAUAAUUUUAAAGAGAAAUGAUUCACAUCAUUUAA